UCUCUGGUAGUUUAGUGGUCAUGAUUGUACGAGUCAAUUCCUGUCACUUGAAUUUACAAUAAUCACUAACAUCUAUGUAGUCCGCUUGUCAUAACGGCAAAGCGCGGGAGACCUGGGUUCGAUUCCCAGUCAGAGAG
RNAcentral lists this transfer RNA (137 nucleotides) under Alectoria sarmentosa. RNAcentral describes it as "tRNA-Asp". Lineage: Eukaryota; Fungi; Ascomycota; Lecanoromycetes; Lecanorales; Parmeliaceae. The record is from RNAcentral.